GCCAGACUGGCUCAGCCAGUGAAGCAUGUGACUCUUGAUCUUGGGGUUGUGGGUUUGAGCCCCACGUUGGGUG
RNAcentral lists this transfer RNA (73 nucleotides) under Ailuropoda melanoleuca (giant panda). It matches the Rfam family "tRNA". From Rfam's summary of the family: Transfer RNA (tRNA) molecules are approximately 80 nucleotides in length. The record is from Rfam by way of RNAcentral. Lineage: Eukaryota; Metazoa; Chordata; Mammalia; Carnivora; Ursidae.